Long non-coding RNA from Mytilus trossulus (common blue mussel), 515 nucleotides. RefSeq lists it as uncharacterized. The record is from RefSeq and is a predicted model, not a curated record. The transcript has 3 exons. NCBI's taxonomy places the organism in Eukaryota, Metazoa, Mollusca, Bivalvia, Mytilida, Mytilidae.
UUUCAGACCAUGGGCAGCACGACUUCCUGGUUCGAUGGGAACCCCAGCCGCUUGACAGAGUUUCACGAUGGAUUCUCCAGGGCCAUUAUUUACGUUAUGUAUAGCUAAACAACAUUAGCACUGUGUUGCAUACUUGAAGUGGAAGGAGCUGGUAUAUUAGAACCAAGAAAUAAUUUCUGUAGACCAGUUGUGCUGAUAGCUAUGUGAUUAAGUGCGACUUGUAUGGAUAGAUUAAUAGCUGCUGUUCGACGACCACGUUUCUUUGCGAUCACCUCAUUGUAAAGGUUGAACAUUUUUGAAUGGAGGACUGGAAGACAUUUGGGUGUUGAGUCAAAUUUAAUGGAAAAAUUCAGUGCGAACCUGCAAUGUUUAUAAAUGGAGGGCAGUAAAACUUGAAAAUAUGCCGCACAGCUAUAUGUUUUUAUUAGUGCAAAAAAAAGUAGUGCAUGUCUCCUUUCCAGGGAAAUCUAACAUUCUCCUCAAAACUUCCUGAAUGAAGAGUGACUGCAUAUGCA